GCGGAGAUCCAGCCCAGGCCUAUGAUUACCAGGGCAGUGUGAGGAGGAUUACUGGGGGUGCCUGCAAGGAAUCACACCGCGGGAGGAGGAGAGACUAUGGCUGGAGACUGAUGGACAGACCCCUUGAAGUGCUGAGACACCAUGGAAUCUUAUGGACGAUGGGAUCUCUUACAUGAAUAGUGAAUACCGACUAAAGACGCCGUCUGCCUCAGAGGAUACAUUUUUUAGAGGUUCCACAUUGUGAGAAACCAUCAUAGAGGAAUAGUCGAUGUUGGACAGCUGCGAGGGAUGAAUAAUGGAGUAACUCACAAUACUAGGCAGGACCUCAACCUUCACACAAGACAGAAAUCCGAGAGAGAAGAGGGCAUCCGAUCUACAGAAUCGCCUACAUCUGUUACAAUUCCACUUUUUCUAGAUUGUAAGCUCUUUAGGAUAGAGUAUGCUUUCUAAAUGUUUCGGAGUAUGUAUAGUAGGUGCUUUAUAAACAACCGGUAAUUAAUAAAAUUAUAUAC
Long non-coding RNA from Pseudophryne corroboree (corroboree frog), 512 nucleotides. RefSeq lists it as uncharacterized. Lineage: Eukaryota; Metazoa; Chordata; Amphibia; Anura; Myobatrachidae. The record is from RefSeq and is a predicted model, not a curated record. The transcript has 3 exons.